This 439-nucleotide ribosomal RNA is filed under the name uncultured bacterium. Its description in RNAcentral is "partial 16S ribosomal RNA". It matches the Rfam family "Bacterial small subunit ribosomal RNA", at positions 339 to 795 of the family's 1533-position model. The record is from RNAcentral.
CUACGGGGCGCACCAGUGGGGAAUAUUGCACAAUGGAGGAAACUCUGAUGCAGCAACGCCGCGUGGAGGAUGACACUUUUCGGAGCGUAAACUCCUUUUAUAUAGGAAGAAGAUGACGGUACUAUAUGAAUUAGCGCCGGCUAACUCCGUGCCAGCAGCCGCGGUAAUACGGAGGGCGCAAGCGUUACUCGGAAUCACUGGGCGUAAAGAGCGUGUAGGCGGAUUAAAAAGUCAGAAGUGAAAUCCUAUAGCUUAACUAUAGAACUGCUUCUGAAACUCUUAAUCUAGAAUAUGGGAGAGGUAGAUGGAAUUUCUGGUGUAGGGGUAAAAUCCGUAGAGAUCAGAAGGAAUACCGAUUGCGAAGGCGAUCUACUAGAACAUUAUUGACGCUGAGACGCGAAAGCAUGGGGAGCAAACAGGAUUAGAUACCCCGGUAGUC